AGGCACCUCAUCACUGCCUGGAGAGAAUCUCAUCAAAACUGUUGUGAAAAACAUACAAGGUGAAGCAAGCUGGUCUUGAUGUCAAGAAGUGAGCGUGUAAUCUUGGUUUCUCCACAUCAGCCACAACUUUUGCCAAGCUUGAGGUUUUUAUGAUCAGACCCUGUCUAAGUCAGCUUUGUCCUCUCGAGCUCAAGACCAUGCCAGACUUCACCUUGAGGCCGGGAAUUUUGGAGCCAAGUGCACGUGGAGGCCGGGAGGUUGUAUCCACACUAAAGACUAGAUUUGAGUUCACGCUGAGGCCGGAGGUCAUAUCCAUACUGAGGACUGGAUUUGAGUUCACGCUGAAGCCAGGAGGUCGUGUACACACUGUGGUCUGGAUUUGAGUUCACGUUGAGGCCGGAGGUCGUAUCCAUACUGAGGACUGGAUUUGAGUUCACGCUGAAGCCAGGAGGUCGUGUACACACUGUGGUCUGGAUUUGAGUUCACGCUGAGGCUAGAGGUCGUGUCCACACUGAGGACUGGAUUCGAGUUCAUGCUGAGGUCAGGUGGUCGUGUCUACUCUGAGGUCUGAAUUCAAUUCCACACUGAUGCCAGGUGAUGAUUUCUACUCUGAGGUCUGGAUUUCAGUCCACGCUGGCUUUCAGCCCAGAUGUCGCCAAUG
Non-coding RNA from Chiloscyllium plagiosum (whitespotted bambooshark), 661 nucleotides. NCBI's taxonomy places the organism in Eukaryota, Metazoa, Chordata, Chondrichthyes, Orectolobiformes, Hemiscylliidae. The record is from RefSeq and is a predicted model, not a curated record.